GUUCGAAUCCCACCGUGGCCGGGCAUAUUUUUCAAGCUCGCCCGGUGUGGAUAUGCACUCAGAGUAACAUCGCAAACAUAUUAUUCACCUGAGUACACAACACCAACACAGAAAAAAAAUAAAUUAUAUAUAAUAUGUUUUACAUAGUUCGAGUAAAUCAGUAUAACUGUAUAGUAGCUUCAUUAAAAGUUGAAUAUAUUACCCCUUUGCUGAAGAUUGUUUAUCAUGUUGCUAAUCGCCAACAAUUACGUUGGGAUUCUUCGCAUAGACCACCGUUCUUGAAUAUUUACUUUCUGCAUGAUUUCUCUAUCCAUGAACAGAUUCAGUCAGUCUCUAAUCUUCGUUCAGCUUCAAUGAGUGUAAUCGAAUAUGGUUC
Non-coding RNA from Paramuricea clavata, 376 nucleotides. The record is from the annotation of a GenBank genome assembly. NCBI's taxonomy places the organism in Eukaryota, Metazoa, Cnidaria, Anthozoa, Malacalcyonacea, Plexauridae.